UUGCAUUCCCCUCGCGGGCUGCAGCUGCACUCCUCUCUUAUCUGCCCCUUCCCCGCGGUGGCCUGGCGGGCUUCUCCCCACCCCCUCCCUCAGCCAGCCUCUGGCUCUGCCGCCCCAGCCCCGGGGAGCCCAGAGCGGCACAGCAAGUCUGUGGCGGCCCGGCCCAGCGCCGCCUGGAGCAUAGUCCCUCCCUGGAGCCUUCCUGCCUCGGCCGCUUGGUCUCCGGCGGGGGCUGGGCCUGGGCCAGGACAGGAGGAGCGAAACGUCCACAUCAUCGAUGAAAGUGUUUCAUGGAGGCCUGGUACUGAUCCCUGCAGAACUCUAUAGAAACGCCCACGUGCAGUGAUAAUGCUCAUUGACAACUACUUUCAGAGAUCGCUGUUGAAGUCCCCAAAUCCUGAUUUAAAGACUUCAAGUAGCAGAUAAUCCUCCAGC
This is a long non-coding RNA of Mauremys mutica (yellowpond turtle), 435 nucleotides long. RefSeq lists it as uncharacterized. The transcript has 3 exons. The record is from RefSeq and is a predicted model, not a curated record. Lineage: Eukaryota; Metazoa; Chordata; Testudines; Geoemydidae.